Molecule: transfer RNA, 73 nt
Filed under: Actinomycetota bacterium
Lineage: Bacteria; Bacillati; Actinomycetota
Description: tRNA-Phe
Rfam family: tRNA
About the family: Transfer RNA (tRNA) molecules are approximately 80 nucleotides in length. Their secondary structure includes four short double-helical elements and three loops (D, anti-codon, and T loops).
Source: RNAcentral
GGUCAGGUAGCUCAGUCGGUAGAGCACCGCACUGAAAAUGCGGGUGUCGGCAGUUCGAUUCUGCCCCUGACCA